UAAGGUGGUUAUAGCGACGGGGCUCACCUCUUCCCAUUCCGAACAGAGAAGUUAAGCCCGCCAGCGCCGAUGGUACUACGUAAGUGGGAGAGUAGGUCGCCGCCUUCU
This 108-nucleotide ribosomal RNA is filed under the name Galbibacter marinus. The record is from RNAcentral. Lineage: Bacteria; Pseudomonadati; Bacteroidota; Flavobacteriia; Flavobacteriales; Flavobacteriaceae.